Rhagoletis zephyria (snowberry fruit fly) is the source of this 2026-nucleotide long non-coding RNA. RefSeq lists it as uncharacterized. The record is from RefSeq and is a predicted model, not a curated record. NCBI's taxonomy places the organism in Eukaryota, Metazoa, Arthropoda, Insecta, Diptera, Tephritidae.
AGCAAUCUGAGACUUGUUCUCCUCUUCAAGCAAUAACGCCGCGGCUAUGGAUUUCCUUCUUAUAAUUAUGUUUCUACUUAAAUUAAGAACAAACGACAUUUAAUUUGUAAAUUACAAUGAUGUUAGAUAUAUUUAGUUAUUUUAAAAUAAUUAAAAAUUUUAACUUCAUAAGCUGCUAUAGCUUCGUGGCAAAUAUUUCUUUUGUUUUGUCUCGAUUUCAUACAUUCCUAGGCAACCAGCUGAUUUCGAAGAUGUUUUCGCUCUUCAUCUUCUUCUUUUGAUUCGAUCGUAACUCAGAAUACCAAAUUACGAUUGUUGCGGAGCGGAAUGCGGGAACGUAAUCGAAGUGCAGAAUAGAUCUGAAAAAAAUUUUUUAUACUGUAUGUAUGUAUGUACGUAAGUAUGGCAUUAGUAUUUCACGUCUACGUUUAAACAAAUAUAUGGAAUUAUAUCAAACUAUAACAAUAAUGCAGCUUUUUUCCAUUAUUUUUAAGAUUCAGUGAUUUUAAUUUUUGUUACGACGGCACAAACUCGUAGAGUAUCUGUGCGAAUCUUCAUUAUGAACGGAUUCAAAGAAGGCUCUACGAAUUUCGAAUUUACAUUCGUCUCAAUUCGGAUUCUGUGAUAGCACUUUCGUAGAUUUCACGAAAAGCGAAGCUAUGAUGGAUUCUGUGAAAGCCCUGAAUAAGUUAAGUGCGUGAUUAGUUUUAUGUUGUAGAACUUUUAUUUAAUUCGAUGCGGUUUAUUUCAAAUCAUUGUCCGAUUUAUUGCAUUCAAAAUAAUCAUGACAGGGAUUGAGACAAUAGAAGAAGGAUGCAUGUAUUAGUUAAGUGUGCAUCGGUUACUAUCUUGAAUUUUAACUCUUCUAGGUAAACUCUGAGAUAUUAACCGAUUUGGGCGGGGUUGUUGUAGCCGCUACAACAACAACUUUAUAUCCUAGAUAUUCUACUUCACUAUACGCAAAUUUACAUUUUUGAAGUUUUAUUCGAAGUAUAUAUUCGGUUGAAUGAUUUAAAACCCUUUUAACCAAGUUAUACAGACCUGUUCUGCAAUCCGAGUCGGAAUCGCAUCGGAAUCGGAAUUCAAUUCCGACUCGGAAUGUUGUUCCACAAUCCGAUCGGAACUUUUGUUUCGAAGGUAAUAUCGAAUCCGAUUGUAGAAAAAAAGGAACAAGCCUCCUACUUGUAAUUGCGUUCUGAAGUUUCAAAAUUCAUCUGAAGAAAUUAAAAAGUGAAAACUAAAAUGAAUUCAAUGGUUUUAUUAGCUGUUUUGCUAAAUAAUGAGCAACAAAACAAACAAAUGAAAAAAUGAUGCAAACAAUAUUGCGCGAUCGCAGCAAUCUCAUAUAAUUACCGGACUCUGCGUAAGUAUUAUGCAAACAACUGUUUUCUCUUUUGCUAUUUCAAAGUAUAAUUUUAUAUUUUACAGCUCUCUUGCACUCCUCAAGAUUUUGGGUGACUUGCAGCCUCAUGUACGCAAAAAGUUCCAUUCCUGGGAGCAAAGCGAAUGGACCAACAUCGCUUUGGGAGGGAGCACCGUACCAUUGCCGACGUUACCGACACAAUGUUGUGUGCAUGGAGUCUGUGAUUUAGGUAGCGAUGAUUAACUGGGGAUUAAGUAUCGAGAUGGUGAUCGCCAAAAGUCGUUUUCAGUGUUUAUUAGUAAUCUUGCAGUACAAACUAUGAGAGGUUGUGAAAAUAAUUAAUAAAUGUGUUGCUUGCAUAACAUUAUUCGCCACUACAGUCCUGAAUUUGACUAUGAAGAAGUUGAAGAAAAUGAUAGCGAAGUAUGUAGAUUGUGAAGUAGAUUGAUUUGCACCAACAGAAAUUUAUUUGAAAAGUGAAGUACAAAUAAUUGUAUACAAAAUUACGAAUAAGAUUACCCCUAUUUAAUUAAAUCGAGUUUGGUAAUUAAACAAUAAAUUUACGAAAAAAUAACAUUUUAAGAUUUUUUACUAUUUUCAAAUUCGAAACGCUCUAGCUCCAACUCAAGCUGUCGCAGUUUAAUUUGGUCUUGCAUUUUUUUA